CCCGCCUACUUACUCUACGGAACUGAUGCGCUCCGUUUCCUCGUUUGAACUCACGAGCGGGACACGGUGGAGCGCGUGUGCAACGCACCUUUGAAGGAGAAAAUGUCACACUGAAUGACAGGCUACAGAGCGCUGGGCCGCUGCUGGAGACUGAUAUCUACAUCACUUACACAGCAACAAUGGAGACGACCUACCUGGGAUAAAACGAGCUGCCGGUGGAUCAUUCUCCAACAGUGAGGACGAGGACUUGAGGAGGUACACGCCUGCUAGUUUCCACUCAGCUCCAUUUCGACGGUAAAAGACAGUAGAGACACAAACAAACAGCGUACCGUGUGUUGGGAAGGAUCCAGUCACAUCCUUUCCUCUUUCUCUGGACCAAAGUCAAGCUGGAGGUAAUACAACGAGUACUUCCGGGAAGCGCCAU
Notolabrus celidotus (New Zealand spotty) is the source of this 424-nucleotide long non-coding RNA. RefSeq lists it as uncharacterized. The transcript has 2 exons. Lineage: Eukaryota; Metazoa; Chordata; Actinopteri; Labriformes; Labridae. The record is from RefSeq and is a predicted model, not a curated record.